RNAcentral lists this ribosomal RNA (468 nucleotides) under uncultured bacterium. RNAcentral's name for it is "partial 16S ribosomal RNA". It matches the Rfam family "Bacterial small subunit ribosomal RNA", at positions 28 to 507 of the family's 1533-position model. The record is from RNAcentral.
GACGAACGCUGGCGGCGUGCUUAACACAUGCAAGUCGAACGGAAAGGCCCUGCUUUUGUGGGGUGCUCGAGUGGCGAACGGGUGAGUAACACGUGAGUAACCUGCCCUUGACUUUGGGAUAACUUCAGGAAACUGGGGCUAAUACCGGAUAGGAGCUCCUGCUGCAUGGUGGGGGUUGGAAAGUUUCGGCGGUUGGGGAUGGACUCGCGGCUUAUCAGCUUGUUGGUGGGGUAGUGGAUUACCAAGGCUUUGACGGGUAGCCGGCCUGAGAGGGUGACCGGCCACAUUGGGACUGAGAUACGGCCCAGACUCCUACGGGAGGCAGCAGUGGGGAAUAUUGCACAAUGGGCGGAAGCCUGAUGCAGCAGCGCCGCGUGCGGGAUGACGGCCUUCGGGUUGUAAACCGCUUUCGCCUGUGACGAAGCGUGAGUGACGGUAAUGGGUAAAGAAGCACCGGCUAACUACGUG